AGUUACCAGCACGUUAUGGUGGGCACUCUAAGGAGACUGCCGGUGCAAACCGAGGAAGUGGGGAUGACGUCAAGUCAUCAUGGCCCUUACGGCCUGGGCUACACACGUGCUACAAUGGUCGGUACAAAAGGGUUGCCAAGCCGCGAGGUGGAGCUAAUCCCAUAAAACCGAUCGUAGUCCGGAUCGCAGUCUGCAACUCGACUGCGUGAAGUCGGAAUCGCUAGUAAUCGUGAAUCAGAAUGUCACGGUGAAUACGUUCCCGGGCCCU
RNAcentral lists this ribosomal RNA (268 nucleotides) under uncultured Pseudomonas sp. RNAcentral describes it as "partial 16S ribosomal RNA". It matches the Rfam family "Bacterial small subunit ribosomal RNA", at positions 1113 to 1382 of the family's 1533-position model. The record is from RNAcentral. Lineage: Bacteria; Pseudomonadati; Pseudomonadota; Gammaproteobacteria; Pseudomonadales; Pseudomonadaceae.